RNAcentral lists this long non-coding RNA (1306 nucleotides) under Coturnix japonica (Japanese quail). RNAcentral's name for it is "lncRNA (ENSCJPG00005019072.1)". The record is from RNAcentral. Lineage: Eukaryota; Metazoa; Chordata; Aves; Galliformes; Phasianidae.
AUGGGCUACGCAAUCCCAAGUUCACACCAUCCUGCAAAAACAGGUGCUUGGUCUGAGCCACAGUUUCCACCCUGCCUCAGAUGUCCCGAGUCUCUGUGGAAAAACAUAGCGCACACACAAAUGUUUAAUCUUAAUUAUGUCAAACAGCUGAGGAAGAUACAAAGCAGCUUCUCAUCCCAGUAUAAAACUCAUAUGCUUCUUUCUUUAUUUUUUUUUUCAGAAAUUGGAUGGAAGAGACCAUAUUACUUGAGAGAGCUGCAGCUAUGCGGAUCUCAACUCUUUGGUCAACAUAAUAUACAGUUGCUAUCUUCUAAAAAAGAAUUGAGAAGAAAUGUGUAUAAUUAUACACAGAAUAUUAAUCUUCUUCCUGGUGAUCUACAACUCUAGCAUAUUCAUCAUACUGGAACUGUGCUCAAAAGUAUUUUCAUCUGAUUAAAAUUGCUGAUUCAUCGAUGCAUGUAAUCCUUUGCUAAUAGUAUGUAUAUAAAUGGAUCUUAACAAUUUGCACACCAGUUUCCUCCUCUGUCAUUGUUAUUUGCUUUUUUUUAAAAAAACACUGGAUGCAACACUGAACUUUUAUGUUUUGAUAGGAAAAGAGGGAAGGGCUACAAGUUGCGCCAGGGGAGGUUUGAGUUGGAUAAUAGGAAAAUCUCUGAAAGUGUGGUGAGAUACUGGAACAGGCUGCCCAGAGAGGUGGUGGAGUCACUGUCCAUGGGGGUGUUCAAGAACCGUGUAGAUGCGGCACUAAGGAAAUAGGUUAGUGGGUGCUGAGUUAGAAGGGUGGUGAUGGGUUGACAUUUGGACUAGAUUAUCUUAGAGGUCUUUUCCAACCAUAAUGAUUCUAUGAUCUAUGAUUUUAUGAUUUAGACUUUUGGAGAACUAAGGCGCAGUGGUCUGGGAUAGAUGUAGAAAACCUACUGUCUGACUGUAGCUGUGGCACCAGCUUCACUCUGUGACUUUGGAUAAGCCUCUAGUCAUGCCAAUAGCUAGGAUUCAGUUUUAAAUAUCCUCAAUUCUGUACCCACAUUUUUAGGACUUGUGAAUACAUAAACAUGAUAAAUAGCCAUACAAUUCAGUAUUGGAAAAUGUCAAAGUUCACAGUGCAAAACUCACUGACAACAGUACUUUGCAAUCUUUCUCUCCACCAACUCAGAAAUUCACAUUGGAAGAUACAGUCUCACCAGGAAUGCAUCAGUUUGCCACUCCUUACUUCCAACUCUUCUGUACAUCCUCCUAUUUAGAAAAUGGAAGGUACUUUAGAAAAAUACUAAAGGAUUCACAGCAGCAUUGUACAAGGAAACUUGAG